Molecule: ribosomal RNA, 253 nt
Filed under: uncultured bacterium
Lineage: Bacteria
Description: partial 16S ribosomal RNA
Rfam family: Bacterial small subunit ribosomal RNA
Source: RNAcentral
UACGUAGGUGGCAAGCGUUGUCCGGAUUUACUGGGCGUAAAGAGCGCGCAGGCGGCCGAGUAAGUCGAAUGUGAAAGCCCCCGGCUCAACUGGGGAAGGUCAUUCGAUACUGUUCGGCUCGAAGAUAGGAGAGGGAAGCGGAAUUUCAGGUGUAGUGGUGAAAUGCGUAGAUAUCUGAAGGAACACCAGUGGCGAAGGCGGCUUUCUGGCCUAUUCUUGACGCUGAGGCGCGAAAGCUAGGGGAGCGAACGGG